Molecule: long non-coding RNA, 237 nt
Filed under: Nicotiana benthamiana
Lineage: Eukaryota; Viridiplantae; Streptophyta; Magnoliopsida; Solanales; Solanaceae
Description: long non-coding RNA (NBEN_LNC013078)
Source: RNAcentral
GUCCAGUGAAGUCUGCCACUCCUAGCCAUUGCAGUGUCUGGUAUCUCAACUGGGAAGCAAAAUUGCAAUGCAAGAAUAAAUGGUCUCUAGUUUCUAUUUCUUGCUGGCAUAUAACACUGAUGCCUGGUAUAUUCAGAUUCCAUUGCAGCAGUCUAUUAUUGGUAGGAAGUCCAUCUUGCAGCAACAACCACAAGCUGAAGAUAGCUUUAGGUCUAGCAGCAUUUUGUAUUACCAANN